AUUAUUACGAGCAUAAUUGAUAAUGUAGUUCUUGAGGAGAACUGAUUGUUGACGUUGACGAUGUCCACGUCCGAGUAGUUCAGGUAGACCAGGGGAUGUUGGUUCAGUAAGUAGUUCAGUAGUUGUGGUGGUUGCUCCAGGAGAUAAUGGUGAUGUAGGGGGUGAAGAUGGUGGUAGCGUAGCAUAGGAAUUGGCAGUAGUAUCUUUCUGGACCUCAGGUGUAACUGGGUAACACAGAGGUUUCAGGUUCUGGAGAUGAUGUAGUAGGCACAGAUGGCACGGGUGGAGGAGUGGUGAUAGUGGGUAGUGUGUGU
This 314-nucleotide long non-coding RNA is filed under the name Brassica napus (rape). RNAcentral describes it as "long non-coding RNA (BNAP_LNC024542)". Lineage: Eukaryota; Viridiplantae; Streptophyta; Magnoliopsida; Brassicales; Brassicaceae. The record is from RNAcentral.